Molecule: ribosomal RNA, 428 nt
Filed under: uncultured bacterium
Lineage: Bacteria
Description: partial 16S ribosomal RNA
Rfam family: Bacterial small subunit ribosomal RNA
Source: RNAcentral
GUAGGGAAUAUUGCGCAAUGGACGAAAGUCUGACGCAGCGACGCCGCGUGAGUGAUGAAGGCCUUAGGGUCGUAAAGCUCUGUUGAAUGGGAAGAAAAAAAUGACGGUACCAUUCGAGGAAGGACCGGCUAACUUCGUGCCAGCAGCCGCGGUAAUACGAGGGGUCCUAGCGUUGUUCGGAAUCAUUGGGCGUAAAGGGUGUGUAGGUGGCCAUGUAAGUCAGGUGUGAAAGCGCCGGGCUCAACCCGGGAAGUGCACUUGAUACUGCGUGGCUUGAGUACCGAAGAGGGUAGUGGAAUUCCAGGUGUAGUGGUGAAAUACGUAGAUAUCUGGAGGAACACCGGUGGCGAAGGCGGCUACCUGGUCGAGUACUGACACUGAGACACGAAAGCAUGGGGAUCAAACAGGAUUAGAUACCCGGGUAGUCC